CAGUCGCCGCGGUAAUACGUAGGGUGCAAGCGUUAAUCGGAAUUACUGGGCGUAAAGCGUGCGCAGGCGGUUUGUUAAGACAGAUGUGAAAUCCCCGGGCUUAACCUGGGAACUGCAUUUGUGACUGGCAAGCUAGAGUAUGGCAGAGGGGGGUGGAAUUCCGCGUGUAGCAGUGAAAUGCGUAGAUAUGCGGAGGAACACCGAUGGCGGAGGCAGCCCCCUGGGCCAAUACUGACGCUCAUGCACGAAAGCGUGGGGAGCAAACAGGAUUAGAUACCCCCGUAGUCCCUGUCUCUUAUAC
RNAcentral lists this ribosomal RNA (301 nucleotides) under uncultured bacterium. Its description in RNAcentral is "partial 16S ribosomal RNA". It matches the Rfam family "Bacterial small subunit ribosomal RNA", at positions 509 to 807 of the family's 1533-position model. The record is from RNAcentral.